Molecule: long non-coding RNA, 621 nt
Filed under: Takifugu rubripes (torafugu)
Lineage: Eukaryota; Metazoa; Chordata; Actinopteri; Tetraodontiformes; Tetraodontidae
Description: lncRNA (ENSTRUG00000027590.1)
Source: RNAcentral
CAGCCUAAAUACUGGUUUUAUGAAUCAUCAGUCACACCAAGCGAAUUUUUAAAAGCUAAAUUUUGCCUUUACAGCCUUCGUCGAUGAGACUUUCCUCCUCUUCAGCCCCGGGGGGUCACGACUACACACUGUUGUGUGAAGGAAACUGUCGCUAACGCAAAGUGCCGCGCUGCUUCUGGCCUCAACGAGCCACAGCGGCGCGUCACCGCGGACGACGACGUCGCUCUGCCGCCGCCCACCAACAACACUUCAUCUACAACUGCGCCUCUGCUCAUCUGACGACUCCCCAGAUGAAAUUUAGGAGGGUUUUCGCCCAGCCGAAGGUUUUAGAAACUUUGUGGGGCAACUUCAAGACCUUCAAGACCACAGUUGUUCUGCUGGUUUCACCCAGAUCACCUGAGAUCCACCUCCGAUCCAAACAGGUCUGCAGAGGCAGGAAGUGCCUCCUCACCUCAGCCACUAAUUAAAGAGGCAUUAGCCAGUGACAGAUGGUCCCCGGUCGGACAUGAGAGUGAGGAAAGUGGGGCAGCAGCCGAGCUUCCCCAGUGGAUGCUGGACCAGCGCUCACAAACACAGCGAGAGAGGACCGCAGAUGGCCCGGAACCCUUUCCAGGGUUCAUC